This 379-nucleotide ribosomal RNA is filed under the name uncultured fungus. RNAcentral describes it as "SSU rRNA". It matches the Rfam family "Eukaryotic small subunit ribosomal RNA", at positions 826 to 1208 of the family's 1831-position model. Lineage: Eukaryota; Fungi. The record is from RNAcentral.
CGUUAUGGUUCUAUUUUGUUGGUUUCUAGGACCAUCGUAAUGAUUAAUAGGGACGGUCGGGGGCAUCAGUAUUCAGUUGUCAGAGGUGAAAUUCUUGGAUUGAUUGAAGACUAACUACUGCGAAAGCAUUUGCCAAGGACGUUUUCAUUAAUCAAGAACGAAAGUUAGGGGAUCGAAGAUGAUCAGAUACCGUCGUAGUCUUAACCACAAACUAUGCCGACUAGAGAUUGGGCUUGUUUAUUAUGACUAGCUCAGCAUCUUAGCGAAAGUAAAGUUUUUGGGUUCUGGGGGGAGUAUGGUCGCAAGGCUGAAACUUAAAGGAAUUGACGGAAGGGCACCACCAGGAGUGGAGCCUGCGGCUUAAUUUGACUCAACACGG